UACGGAGGGUGCAAGCGUUAUCCGGAUUUACUGGGUUUAAAGGGCGCGUAGGCGGCCCGCUAAGUCGAACGUGAAAUCCCUGGGCUCAACCCAGGAACUGCGUCCGAUACUGGCAGGCUUGAAUCCGGGAGAGGGAUGCGGAAUUCCAGGUGUAGCGGUGAAAUGCGUAGAUAUCUGGAGGAACACCGGUGGCGAAGGCGGCAUCCUGGACCGGCAUUGACGCUGAGGCGCGAAAGCCAGGGGAGCAAACGGG
This 253-nucleotide ribosomal RNA is filed under the name uncultured bacterium. RNAcentral describes it as "partial 16S ribosomal RNA". It matches the Rfam family "Bacterial small subunit ribosomal RNA", at positions 524 to 776 of the family's 1533-position model. The record is from RNAcentral.